RNAcentral lists this ribosomal RNA (253 nucleotides) under uncultured bacterium. RNAcentral describes it as "partial 16S ribosomal RNA". It matches the Rfam family "Bacterial small subunit ribosomal RNA", at positions 524 to 776 of the family's 1533-position model. The record is from RNAcentral.
UACGUAGGUGGCAAGCGUUGUCCGGAUUUACUGGGCGUAAAGAGCGCGCAGGCGGUCGUUCAAGUCGCGUGUGAAAGCCCCCGGCUCAACCGGGGAGGGUCGUCGGGGACUGAUCGGCUUGAGGGCGGUAGGGGCCGGUGGAAUUCCCGGUGUAGUGGUGAAAUGCGCAGAUAUCAGGAGGAACACCUAUGGCGAAGGCAGCUCGCUGGGACGGUACUGACGCUGAGGCGCGAAAGCGUGGGGAGCAAACAGG